ACGGAAGGCAGCAGUGGGGAAUAUUGCACAAUGGGGGAAACCCUGAUGCAGCGACGCCGCGUGAGUGAAGAAGUAUUUCGGUAUGUAAAGCUCUAUCAGCAGGAAAGAAAAUGACGGUACCUGACUAAGAAGCCCCGGCUAACUACGUGCCAGCAGCCGCGGUAAUACGUGGGGGGCAAGCGUUAUCCGGAUUUACUGGGUGUAAAGGGAGCGUAGACGGCUUUGCAAGUCUGAAGUGAAAGCCCGGGGCUCAACCCCGGAACUGCUUUGGAAACUGUAGAGCUAGAGUGCAGGAGAGGUAAGUGGAAUUCCUAGUGUAGCGGUGAAAUGCGUAGAUAUUAGGAGGAACACCAGUGGCGAAGGCGGCUUACUGGACUGUAACUGACGUUGAGGCUCGAAGGCGUGGGGAGCAAACAGGAUUAGAUACCCUGGUA
This 434-nucleotide ribosomal RNA is filed under the name uncultured Lachnospiraceae bacterium. Its description in RNAcentral is "partial 16S ribosomal RNA". It matches the Rfam family "Bacterial small subunit ribosomal RNA", at positions 341 to 792 of the family's 1533-position model. Lineage: Bacteria; Bacillati; Bacillota; Clostridia; Lachnospirales; Lachnospiraceae. The record is from RNAcentral. RNAcentral also lists the same sequence under 1 other name.